This is a non-coding RNA of Ictidomys tridecemlineatus (thirteen-lined ground squirrel), 68 nucleotides long. The record is from Rfam. Lineage: Eukaryota; Metazoa; Chordata; Mammalia; Rodentia; Sciuridae.
GCUGUAGCUCAGUGGCAGAGCGCUUGCCUAACAUGUAUGAGGCCCUGGGUUUGAUUCUCAGUACCGCA